Molecule: long non-coding RNA, 6646 nt
Organism: Capsicum annuum
Lineage: Eukaryota; Viridiplantae; Streptophyta; Magnoliopsida; Solanales; Solanaceae
Exons: 3
Source: RefSeq, a predicted model, not a curated record
AGUUUCUUCAUUUGUGAAAUUUUUGGAUCUCCCUUUUGAUUCAAUUUUGAAUUUCCUCCCUUUUGUUUUUCAUGUGGUAAAUGCUUGAUAACAAUAUUUCCGAGAUUGAUUCUUUGAAGUUCAACGUGACAAGUAUUUUAGGACGGGAGGGAGUAGCUUAAAAUGUUCCUUAUAAACUUUUGUAAGGAUAUAGUUGCAGGAUGGUUAAUCCUGACAUCAUUCCAAUUCACCAGCAGCGAGCAACCGAAUCCAUUCUUUGAAGGUAACCUUUACUCCUUGUAUUAUUUUCCGGUCCAGAACUUUAUACUUUACUUGCUUCAUGAUUUCAUUUUUACAUUUGAGAAACUCUAUCAAAAUCUCAACUGCUGACGAUUAUUUAUCAAAAAAUCUGUUUCGGUUUUGGUUUAACUAUUUCAAUUCCCUAAAGAAAUGAAACCUAACUCAUCAUUUGGGUACUGAACAGGCUUCAAUUGACUGAUUUUGUAGUUAUACCUGUGAGAUUUACAUCAAAAUAGGCAGAAUUUUUGUUCAUGUUCUAAGUUAUCAUUAGGUAUCGAAACAAGUUGAAUACAAACUUUACCAAGUUAUGCUGCUAGAACCCCAGUUGCAGAGCAAAGAUGAAAGUUGAAUACAAGCUUUAAUUUUCUGAUUCUUGUUACUCCUAUUAGUUGAACCUCUUUCUCUAAUCCUUUUUCAAGCCUAAGAUAUCUGCAGGUGGAGUAUUCAUUUUAUUUCAGUUGUGAAUUAAUGAUCCUCUAAAGCUUGACCAUAUUUAAUACCAUGGUUUUAUCUGGUGGAAGGUUAGUAUUUCACUAUUUUGCGUUUUAUUUCCAUAGAUGAAAAUGCCAUCUAAUGAUAAAUUGGUUCCAUUUUUCUUUACUCUUUUCUGUAAUAAAUUGGGCUUACACGCCCAUUUUUAAUACUUGGACCUUAUGUGUGUGUGGAGCAUGGCUCGUGUCAGCACGGCCCAAUGUUAAAAUAUUUUGAGUAUAUAUAAGCUACAUUGACCCAAUGUCAAUUUUCCAACAAGUUUGGUGUUAACAACCUCAACUCCUGUAAACAUUUUCAUAAAUAAAACGAUAACAUAAAGCAUUAUUUGAGAGAGAAAAUAUUGUUUCUUCAAAUUAAUACUCAUAACAUAAAACAUUAUUUGAGGAAAAGGCUAUUGUUACUUUUAAGUUAAUCCAACAUAGAAAGCUGAAGAACAAACAAACUUUACAACUUUUGACAAUUGACAAACUUGGUCACAACCUAGCUAGUCAUUUCCAGUUAACUGCAAAAAUCAAUUGAAAACAAUGAAUCAGGAUAUUCUCUCGAAGUUGAUGCAUUCAAACGAAAGGUGUCUGCAGACUCUCCUCCUAUGUUCACCUAUAUGCCAAUGUUAACAAGCAACUUCAUCAAGGCGGUGAUACGUGACAUGUUAGAUGGUCUCAAGGAAUGCAUCUUUACUUGGAUCUAAGAAGUACGAAGUCCAGUGCUUCUUGAACAAUCUCCUCGAUCAAAGAUUCUUUGUUCAAGAUUUCUCGACACAUGAUGUUAGUUAUGGUUAAUGGUGUGAGACCUCUCCCUACAACUUUCUUCAAAAGUAUUGUAGAGAUGUGGAUUGUGCGUGCAACUUCAACAAAUCAAUGUCUUUUUUCACAUCAAGUGAUUUUAUCUAUACUCAAUGACUCUGGCCAAUGCAACCAAUCAAAAGUAACACCUCCAAACUGCAAUAUCAUAAAAUAUGAAGCAACUCAGAAACCAAAGGAUACCAAAAAAAUUUCCAACUCUUAAGUUCUCCUUCUAUUAUCAAUCUUGAAUUAAAGACAGAUCGAGAGAGGGUAUAAACAACUUUAAACACUUUCAAGAAUCUACAAAUUUUACGGGAGUUGUGUCUAUGCAAUAUCAAGGCAGGAAGAAAUGAGAAAUUUGUUAAUUUCACUUUGAAACUUCUUUUGAAAGAGCAUACUAAUAGGACUUGAAAUUGAAAUGUGUUUAUGUCUUAUGUAGUGCAAAUAAUAUAAGGCCUCUCAAAAAGUAGGAUAAAAAGAAGAGGUCAGUUUUGUAAAGGUCACGGUAUUUCACAGGUAUCUAGUGGCCAAUAAAAAUCAGACCGACACUUAACAUGAAAAUGAAUUUUUUUUAAUCAUUUUCGUGUUUUAUCAUCUCAAGGGCUUGCAAGUACAUAGAGAUGCCUCUAAACAACUGCAGUGGAGAUUACAUUGAAUCUGAAUGGACAACUUCACCAUAUUGAAUGGAACUUAACAUGCCUCUAAAUUUCCAUCAGAGUGAGUACUUAAAAUCAUAAAAGUCACUUGAGAGCUCUGUUAGAUCACAAUAAAAUUGUGAAAGAUGAUUAACAUCGCACUAUUAAGUGAAGAAGUAUUAGGAUAUGCAGCAGCAAAAAAUGUAUCCACCAACAAUGCAUAUGUACUCCAAAAGGAAAGGAAAAAUAAUGUAGACUUACACUCUCAAGCAAGCAGUAACCGUGAUCAGUAGGAAUGAGGAGAACUCAAGCUCAUUCCCCUCACAAAAUUCACUCUUUGCUACUCUUGUCAACUUUCAGCUCAGCUAGCAAACUCCCCAAACUGCAUCAACACACACAAAAAAAAAAAAAGAAAAGCAAAGUAAGCUGCAAACGCAUCAAUUUUCAGAAAAAUAAACACAGAGAUCAUUUUAAGUCCGACUUUCUCAAGUUAUCCAAGUCGACUCAGUGACUCAUUUCGAUGAGAACAAUAUACGAUGACUUUCCUCAACCUGUUUUUCACUGGGUAAUAGAUUUUUGUUUUUUCGGUGUGACUGGUUUACUGGCAAGGAAGUCGAAGGAUUUUGUACCGGUGAUUGGCCGAAGAAAAAUGGAGAGUUAAUUUAUUUUGGGGGCUUAGGGCAAUUUAAAUGGGGGUUAGGUUAUUGAGAAGAGAGGGAAUUUUGGAGUUUUUCGGGUCAACCCAGAGAUAGAAACCCAACCAGAAUCUAUAUUCGGGCAAGAAUAAACAUAUGCGCUCGUGUUUUUGGUCCAAAACAUCAACACAACAGAGAUAACUCAUUAUCUUUGUGCUUCAGUACUUGGAAGACGGAACAUGUAUUAGCUGACAGAAUAGCUCGGCUAUCUCCUAUGUUGCCAUCAUUCUCUCUUCUCUCACUAAAUAAGCAAACAACAGAACCAAGAUCAUCGCACUGUAAAAUCAUCUAUCAAAAUACUUGGUUACCUUUCAGUAUAUAAAUGCGUACACAGAGCGUUGCAAAAAUGAUAUUAGCAUUGAUUGAGGAAUUUAAGCAAAACAUGAUUAGUUUAUACCCGAAUUCCAAUAGUAGCUUCCUGACCAGUCUCUAGUAGCUUAGCUAUUUCUCCUCUUGCUUCAGUUGAAUCUCUCUAUGAUUCCUUAGUAGUCUGAUUCGCGGCAGUUAAUUUCAAUAGGAUUUUACUGCAAAUGGUAAGACCACAUACAAAAAUUACUAAAUAAUAAAGCUUAGCAAUCCAUAAACACAUUCAAACUAAAAUUAGCGAUUUGCGAACAUUAGAAAAUAAGCAUGUGCAGAAACAAUAUCCAAAUCCAUACUAUAUAAUAGUAAAUCAGCAUAACAACAUAACUAUCUUCUUGAAAUAAGUCUUAAUUUAAUCCCCCCCCCCCCCCCCCCCAAAAGAAAUCAAAUUACAGGAAAAUAAAUAAAUAUCCGAAAAAAACUGAAAAAGAUUUUAACUUUAUAAUUGGAAUUAGGUUUUGCGGAGACAAAGAUGAGCAAAGAGAAAGAUAUCAACGCCAUUCACACUAUGAUUUCAAAAGUGAAAUUUACAAAGGAUAAAAUGUAUGCGGACCUUAUUCUUACUUUGCGGGAUAGAAAGGUUGUUUCCUAAUUCUUCUCAAUUUCAACAAGUAAAAUAGACCACAUCCAAUAUACAGUUGGAAUCAAAGUUUUGAACCUUCUAUAGAAGUACUUUACAAGCAGUCCUUACACGGUACUCACUGUUUAUAAGAAAAUUUGCACGCCUUUUACCAAUUCCUGGCUUCACCACUCAAUGUCUCAUAAUAAUUUCACAAGUGAAGUCCAAAAAAGAUAAAAAUGCAUGCAAACCUUAUUUCUAAUUUGCGGUAUAAAGAGACUGUUUCCUUUCUCCUCAAUGAGAAUUAGCAAAAUAGACCCAGACAUCUAAUAUUCAAUUAGAAUCAAAAUUCUAAACCUUCUAAGUACUUAACAAGUAUGCCUUUUAGUCAUACAAAACAAAAUAACAAAAAUCCCACGUUACAUCUAAACAUAUACAAUGCAUUAAUUUUAUUAAUUAUACAUGUAGAAGUUAAAUAUAGUAAUUGUGAAAUAGCCUUUUCCUCAAAUAGUGAUUGCGUUUUGCUAUUUUAGAGUUGUAUUUUUGCGCACUGGUGUCCAUUAUUUAACUUCCAGGAUUUCUUUGUUUAUAAUGUUAAGGGAAGGAAAAGAAGAGAGGGGAAAGCAUUCAAGGGUGUGACUUAGAUGUCAAUAAAGUGGGCUGAGAUCCACGAGAUCUCAGGCUCAAAUCCCAGUAGAGACAAAAAUAUGAUGGAUAGAGUAACCUGGUAGGCUGAUGGGAGGUGACAAAUAUCCUAUGGAAUUAGUCGAGGUAUAUGAGUAAUAUGAACCAGUCCCUUUGUGGCCUUAUUUUCUGCAUCUGUUCCCUAGGCCGACCAAGACAAGUUGCGAGGUUUAGAUUAAACUCUAUUUGUCUGAAUUUUGCUAGGUGAAAGUACAAUUUUCUUGCGUUGGGAUGUCCAUAUGAUAUUCUUUUUUUUUGGAAUAGGUGAGAUGUCACUCCAAUGAAGUGGUGGAUGCUUUUUUUUUUAAAUAUUCGUUAGGGGAAAUAUGCCAUUGGCAAAACCUGUGCUCAUAGAACCCUAUUGUUGCCUAUCCCUCCAUGCAUACAGGGGAAAAUAGAAGAAACCCAGUGUGGCCGCUGAAUUUGACAAAUCAAGGAGAGUAUAGAGCUUCACCUGUGGAAAAUUUCAGUGCUGGUAUGCUAGGGGGUAAAUAUAUGUUGAUUCAUUAUUGUUAGUAUUCACUAGAAACCAGAUGAUGGAAGUUAGCCCCAUGUUCUUCAACAUUCAUACAAUAAGUGUUCUCAAAUAAGACUGGCAUUGCCCACUUCCAAUUAAGGGGUAAAUACUGUGGUCAACGUUCCCUUGGGUAGAAGAGGUGGGAGCUUGGGGUGACAAAAUUGAUAAGGGAGCCAACCUACUAAAGUAGCUUAUACUCCAAGGACAAGGUGCAAGGAUUCCACAUGGUUCCUAUGGAGAAAUAUUAAUAUAUUAUAAGCUGAAGAAUCCUUAGGAUUCAUUCUCUGACCGAGGGAUAAAAAAUUGUCGAAUAUUUGAUCUGCUGCUGUUCAUAUUGCAGUGUAUGUGCGUGGCUAAUUUUUAAGUUAUGCACAACACCAAAAGUGAAAAAGGAAAAGAAAAGAAAAGAGUCCUCUUUGUAAUUGAAAGCUUUGUUAUUUGAUACAAAUUUUGCUGAAUGAUCAGCGUUGAAACUACAGGUCUAAAAGUUGGUCCAUAUAGUGAAAUAAGCCAAUGGAUUGCACUUUCUUUUGGGGGAUAGACCUCUGCUGAUUGAACUUGUAUUAUUGAAUGCAGUGGUGAUCUUGGUCGUACUUUUAUCACCUUUUGGUGAAAAUUCUACAACUUCUGUUGGCCGAGUUCAUAUUUAUGACUGAAUUACUACUCUGUGAAGAUUUUUUUUUGUACUUGAACUUGCAAGUGAAAAUGUCAUCCGCUAAUAUAACUAUGAUAUCAGUUCUGUGUGAGAAAGCACAACAGUGUGAACAGAAGCAGAGGAAGAAGUACACAGCUACUUUAGAACAAUUAUCGACAUUUGAAGUAUUGCUUGAUGAGGUUUAUGUGGAUCUUUGCCCUAAACCAGUGAUUAUGAUGUUCGAAGAGAUUUGCUUCGUAUCUUUAAUGAAAUAGUAAAGGAGAUAUAUGAUUAUUCUGCUGAUGCUCCUGUUGUCGAGGUGUUUGGGUCAUUCUCAAUGGAUCUAUUCUGUGCUAAAAGUGACUUGAAUCUAUCUGUCAACUUCACCAAUAGAAAAGUUAACAUUACACGGGAGAAGAAGAUUCAAACGCUAAGGAAAUUUGCAAAAAAAUUUUAUCUACUUCAAAGUAACCUUUGAACUUGUUCUUCAACUUUUUAUGAUUUUUAUGUAAUAUUGGUCCUACAAUAAUCUUAUAAUCCUAGAAUGUCGUCAUAGUGAGGAAUGAGUAAAGUUCAGGAAGGACCUUGAAAACAAGUACCUACUGUUUGUAUUGGUAGGCUUGCAAGGUAAUAUGGAAUUGUGGUGCUUUGGUCUUUACGUGAUACCUUCUUAUAUUAUACUAGUGGCGGUGCCUUUAAGGCUCUUUGUAAAAUUUACUUAGAUGCUAGCCUUAGUUUAAUUAGUUUUUUUUUUUCUUUUGUGUGUAUUGGGGCUUAAACAUGUGUAAGGAAAUCGGAGUAUUUGAGUGGCGGUUUGUGAGAUUUGACUUGGCAAAGUCGGCUACACUAGGUAGAUUAUCUAGGAUGCUUUCUGUUAGCAAUUACCAGUACUUGGUUCUUAUAGUAAAUUCUUCAUCUUCAAGUCAGAUGUUAUAAACUCUAAGCUUUUAGAAUCAAAUACUUAGAUAUUUUUUUUAAGUAUCCUAGAACACCUUUCACUUAUGUA